This 474-nucleotide ribosomal RNA is filed under the name Ceracris kiangsu (yellow-spined bamboo locust). RNAcentral's name for it is "partial 16S ribosomal RNA". It matches the Rfam family "Archaeal large subunit ribosomal RNA", at positions 1900 to 2623 of the family's 2987-position model. The record is from RNAcentral. Lineage: Eukaryota; Metazoa; Arthropoda; Insecta; Orthoptera; Acrididae.
CAAAAACAUGUCCUCUUGAUUAUAUUUUGAGGUCUGGCCUGCUCACUGAUAAAUUUAAAGAGCCGCGGUAUUUUGACCGUGCAAAGGUAGCAUAAUCAUUAGUCUUUUAAUUAAGGGCUGGAAUGAAUGGCUUGACGAGAAAUUAACUGUCUCUUAAUAAUUUAUAAAAUUUAACUUUUGAGUCAAAAGGCUUAAAUUUUUCUUGAGGACGAGAAGACCCUAUAGAGCUUAACAUAUAAUUUAUAUUUAAACAUUAGAUGUUUUUUAUAUAUUUAAUGAUAAUGGUUUGUUGGGGUGACAUGAAGAAUUAAUAAACUCUUCAUUAUAAAAUCAUUAAUUUAAGUUUAUUUGUGAUCCAUAAUUUAUGGUCAUAAGAUUAAGUUACCUUAGGGAUAACAGGGUAAUUGUUUUUGAGAGCUCAAAUCAGCAAAGCAGAUUGCGACCUCGAUGUGGAUUAAGAAAAAUUUUGGGUGC